RNAcentral lists this ribosomal RNA (710 nucleotides) under Stenotrophomonas geniculata. RNAcentral's name for it is "bacterial SSU rRNA". It matches the Rfam family "Bacterial small subunit ribosomal RNA", at positions 36 to 740 of the family's 1533-position model. Lineage: Bacteria; Pseudomonadati; Pseudomonadota; Gammaproteobacteria; Lysobacterales; Lysobacteraceae. The record is from RNAcentral.
CUGGCGGUAGGCCUAAACAUGCAAGUCGAACGGCAGCACAGAGGAGCUUGCUCCUUGGGUGGCGAGUGGCGGACGGGUGAGGAAUACAUCGGAAUCUACUCUGUCGUGGGGGAUAACGUAGGAAACUUACGCUAAUACCGCAUACNACCUACAGGUGAAAGCAGGGGAUCUUCGGACCUUGCGCGAUUGAAUGANCCGAUGUCGGAUUAUCUAGUUGGCGGGGUAAAGGCCCACCAAGGCGACNAUCCGUAUCUGGUCUGAGAGGAUGAUCACCCNCACUGGAACUGAGACACGGUCCAGCUCCUACGGGAGGCAGCAGUGGGGAAUAUUGGACAAUGGGCGCAAGCCUGAUCCACCCAUACCGCGUGGGUGAAGAAGGCCUUCGGGUUGUAAAGCCCUUUUGUUGGGAAAGAAAUCCAGCUGGCUAAUACCCGGUUGGGAUGACGGUACCCAAAGAAUAANCACCGGCUAACUUCNUGCCACAGCCGCGGUAAUACNAAGGGUGCAAGCGUUACUCGGAAUUACUGGGCGUAAAGCGUGCGUAGGUGGUCGUUUAAGUCCGUUGUGAAAGCCCUGGGCUCAACCUGGGAACUGCAGUGGUACUGGGCGACUAGAGUGUGGUAGAGGGUAGCGGAAUUCCUGGUGUANCAAUGAAAUGCGUANAGAUCAGGAGGAACAUCCAUGGCGAAGGCAGCUACCUGGACCAACAC